Molecule: ribosomal RNA, 448 nt
Filed under: uncultured bacterium
Lineage: Bacteria
Description: bacterial SSU rRNA
Rfam family: Bacterial small subunit ribosomal RNA
Source: RNAcentral
GUCCAGACUCCUACGGGAGGCAGCAGUGGGGAAUAUUGCACAAUGGGGGAAACCCUGAUGCAGCGACGCCGCGUGAGUGAAGAAGUAUUUCGGUAUGUAAAGCUCUAUCAGCAGGGAAGAAGAAGGACGGUACCUGAGUAAGAAGCCCCGGCUAACUACGUGCCAGCAGCCGCGGUAAUACGUAGGGGGCAAGCGUUAUCCGGAUUUACUGGGUGUAAAGGGAGCGUAGACGGCAGUGCAAGUCCGGAGUGAAAGCCCGGGGCUCAACCCUGGGACUGCUCUGGAAACUGUAAAGCUGGAGUGCGGGAGGGGCAGGCGGAAUUCCUGGUGUAGCGGUGAAAUGCGUAGAUAUCAGGAGGAACACCGGCGGCGAAGGCGGCCUGCUGGACCGUAACUGACGUUGAGGCUCGAAAGCGUGGGGAGCAAACAGGAUUAGAUACCCGUGUAC